GGCCCCCUCAGGCCCCCUCAGGCCCCCUCAGGCCCCCUCAGGCCCCCUCAGGCCGCCGGGCUCCUCGCCGCCCUCCGUCUCUGCCGUCGCCGCGCCCCACUCCGCGGCGCGUCCCCCCGGUGUAAAGUCUCAGCGCUGGGAGCCCUGUUGUUUUCUCUUGUGGUGGCGGGGGGUGGGGGCGUGUGGCACACCUCUGGUGUUGAGAGUUGCAGGGUCUCGGCUCUGCCAGGCCGAGGAGACAGGCGAAGCCUUCUGGUUGGUUGUUAGCAGAAGCAGCUAGCUCAGGAAGGAGAGGUCAUGCUUGUCUCAAGCGCCCGGAGAGAGGGCAGCCACCUGCCACCCUGGGGACCUGGAGCGGUGGCCCAGGAGGUUGUGAUGAUUGCAGGCUGUGAGGAAAAGAGGAAAGUAUAGAGGAGGACAACUUCAUAGAAUCAUAGCAUGGUUUGCCCUUCUAGGUUGGAUCAUCUGAACAUGUUGCAAAAUCCUGCCACUCCAAGACACAGGAGAAAAGUGAAGGAAGAACAUGUACAUCUUUGCUUUCUGUAUUUACUUCAGCCUGCAGAAGUUGAAAAAAAAAAGGCAUAUUAAUGAAGAACAGAAUUUUUCUUCUUCCUGGUUUGCUUCUCAUGUGGGAAAAGGAGAAAGCUUUUCUUUAAAGAGAUUCCAAUAAUAAGUCUUGCAAUAGAUCUAGAAAGACAUGUGUCUAGAUUGGGUUUGAUUUUGAGACAAAAAUUACUGUGAUAAUCUUAGGCCAGAAACCUGCAAGUGUUUAUGAAAGAAAAUGCUGAACAGGAAUAAAAAAUAUGAACAGCGUGGACAA
Molecule: long non-coding RNA, 820 nt
Organism: Pogoniulus pusillus (Red-fronted tinkerbird)
Lineage: Eukaryota; Metazoa; Chordata; Aves; Piciformes; Lybiidae
Exons: 3
Source: RefSeq, a predicted model, not a curated record